This 254-nucleotide ribosomal RNA is filed under the name uncultured bacterium. RNAcentral's name for it is "partial 16S ribosomal RNA". It matches the Rfam family "Bacterial small subunit ribosomal RNA", at positions 524 to 776 of the family's 1533-position model. The record is from RNAcentral.
CACGUAGGGGGCAAGCGUUGUCCGGAUUCAUUGGGCGUAAAGAGCUCGUAGGCGGUUCGAUAAGUCGGGUGUGAAACCUCCAGGCUCAACCUGGAGACGCCACCCGAUACUGUCGUGACUAGAGUCCAGUAGGGGAGCGUGGAAUUCCUGGUGUAGCGGUGAAAUGCGCAGAUAUCAGGAGGAACACCGGUGGCGAAGGCGGGUCUCUGGGCAGUAACUGACGCUGAGGAGCGAAAGCGUGGGGAGCGAACAGG